CUUAACACAUGCAAGUCGAGCGGAAACGAUGGUAGCUUGCUACCAGGCGUCGAGCGGCGGACGGGUGAGUAAUACUUAGGAAUCUACCUAGUAGUGGGGGAUAGCACGGGGAAACUCGUAUUAAUACCGCAUACGACCUACGGGAGAAAGGGGGCAGUUUACUGCUCUCGCUAUUAGAUGAGCCUAAGUCGGAUUAGCUAGAUGGUGGGGUAAAGGCCUACCAUGGCGACGAUCUGUAGCUGGUCUGAGAGGAUGAUCAGCCACACCGGGACUGAGACACGGCCCGGACUCCUACGGGAGGCAGCAGUGGGGAAUAUUGGACAAUGGGGGAAACCCUGAUCCAGCCAUGCCGCGUGUGUGAAGAAGGCCUUUUGGUUGUAAAGCACUUUAAGCAGUGAAGAAGACUCUUCGGUUAAUACCCGGAGACGAUGACAUUAGCUGCAGAAUAAGCACCGGCUAACUCUGUGCCAGCAGCCGCGGUAAUACAGAGGGUGCAAGCGUUAAUCGGAAUUACUGGGCGUAAAGCGAGCGUAGGUGGCUUGAUAAGUCAGAUGUGAAAUCCCCGGGCUUAACCUGGGAACUGCAUCUGAAACUGUUAGGCUAGAGUAGGUGAGAGGGAAGUAGAAUUUCAGGUGUAGCGGUGAAAUGCGUAGAGAUCUGAAGGAAUACCGAUGGCGAAGGCAGCUUCCUGGCAUCAUACUGACACUGAGGCUCGAAAGCGUGGGUAGCAAACAGGAUUAGAUACCCUGGUAGUCCACGCCGUAAACGAUGUCUACUAGUCGUUGGGUCCCUUGAGGACUUAGUGACGCAGCUAACGCAAUAAGUAGACCGCCUGGGGAGUACGGCCGCAAGGUUAAAACUCAAAUGAAUUGACGGGGGCCCGCACAAGCGGUGGAGCAUGUGGUUUAAUUCGAUGCAACGCGAAGAACCUUACCUGGUCUUGACAUAUCUAGAAUCCUGCAGAGAUGCGGGAGUGCCUUCGGGAAUUAGAAUACAGGUGCUGCAUGGCUGUCGUCACCUCCUGUCCUGAGAUGUUGGGUUAAGUCCCGCAACGAGCGCAACCCUUGUCCUUAGUUACCAGCGGGUUAAGCCGGGAACUCUAAGGAUACUGCCAGUGACAAACUGGAGGAAGGCGGGGACGACGUCAAGUCAUCAUGGCCCUUACGA
Molecule: ribosomal RNA, 1167 nt
Filed under: Psychrobacter sp.
Lineage: Bacteria; Pseudomonadati; Pseudomonadota; Gammaproteobacteria; Moraxellales; Moraxellaceae
Description: bacterial SSU rRNA
Rfam family: Bacterial small subunit ribosomal RNA
Source: RNAcentral